Molecule: ribosomal RNA, 497 nt
Filed under: uncultured bacterium
Lineage: Bacteria
Description: partial 16S ribosomal RNA
Rfam family: Bacterial small subunit ribosomal RNA
Source: RNAcentral
GAUGAACGCUGGCGGCGUGCCUAAUACAUGCAAGUCGAGCGAACAGACGAGGAGCUUGCUCCUCUGACGUUAGCGGCGGACGGGUGAGUAACACGUGGAUAACCUACCUAUAAGACUGGGAUAACUUCGGGAAACCGGAGCUAAUACCGGAUAAUAUAUUGAACCGCAUGGUUCAAUAGUGAAAGACGGUUUUGCUGUCACUUAUAGAUGGAUCCGCGCCGCAUUAGCUAGUUGGUAAGGUAACGGCUUACCAAGGCAACGAUGCGUAUCCGACCUGAGAGGGUGAUCGGCCACACUGGAACUGAGACACGGUCCAGACUCCUACGGGAGGCAGCAGUAGGGAAUCUUCCGCAAUGGGCGAAAGCUUGACGGAGCAACGCCGCGUGAGGGAUGACGGUCUCAGGAUCGUAAAACUCUGUUAUUAGGGAGGAACAAAUGUGUAAGUAACUAUGCACGUCUUGACGGUACCUAAACAGAAAGCCACGGCUAACUACGUG